UUAUAAAUGAGCAUAGUCUGCGAUAGUGACAAAAAGAAGAGAAGAGGAUAAAGACAGAGGUGCGUUUGGUGAGUCAAUAUCAGUGACAUUUGUGUCACAGUGAUUCGGUCACUUUACACACUGCUGUUCUUGAAAUACAGACAGAUGAUGUGUUACAAUGGAGAUUUGGAGCUGAUGGUGUCCUUAUAGCUCAAAUCAACAGAGCAGACAAUAAGAGCUCUAAAUAUGAUGAUGUUCUUAACCAGAGAUUCAGAAGCCGGUUGAAACUGGACAAUCAAACUGGAGAUCUUACUGUCAGAAACAUAAGAACUGAACAGUCUGGACUAUAUGAAAUUACCAACACCUAACAUACUAUCAGGAAGAUAUUCAAUAUCAGUUGUGUGGCUGUAGAUGCAGUGAAGUCAGUGUCAGUGCUGGUGGGAGAUUUAGUCACUCUACAGACUGGUCUUACUGAACUACAAAGAGAUGAUGUGAUACGAUGGAGGUUUGAGCAUCAAAACUCUCCUAUAGCUGAAAAUAAUAGACAGACUAGAAAAGUCUUCAAAUAUGAUGACACUGAUGAGAGAUUCAGACACCGACUAAAGCUGGACUAUUUGACUGGGUCUCUGACCAUCAGAAACAUUGGAACCAGUCACUCUGGACUUUAUGAAGUGGACAUCAGUACCAGCAGCCGCAAACACACCAUACACAAGACAUUUAAUGUCACGGUCAGCGGUAAGUAGCUCAUGUCUUUCAAUGUAAUAAUGAACUGGAUCACCACUGAACAAUUUAAUUAAAAUUAUCAUGUUUGCAUUGAAUGCAUUCUCGCGUGACUUGCUGCAGCAACUGAGUGGAACUAACAGUAUGAGAGACUCGUGCUCUCAGCCAGUCUCUCAUACUGUUCUCUGUUCAAUGACGCAAUGAGCUAAACUUUUGCACCAACUCUGUAUUCAGAGUCUUUUCAGCUGAAAAACCAUCAAAUUCUCACACAGCAAUCAUGGCGCGUCUCU
Carassius auratus (goldfish) is the source of this 989-nucleotide long non-coding RNA. RefSeq lists it as uncharacterized. Lineage: Eukaryota; Metazoa; Chordata; Actinopteri; Cypriniformes; Cyprinidae. The record is from RefSeq and is a predicted model, not a curated record. The transcript is spliced from 3 exons.